Molecule: long non-coding RNA, 1077 nt
Filed under: Androctonus crassicauda
Lineage: Eukaryota; Metazoa; Arthropoda; Arachnida; Scorpiones; Buthidae
Source: RNAcentral
UCUAAGGUCCUACAAGCUAGUUCAGAUUUUGUUUUAUCCUAAUAAAAAAGUAAAAUACUGAAACAAAUUAAACUGAAAAUUGAGUCUUUUUUUCAAAAAGCAUGCAUUUUAGGUAUCUAUCAAAUGAUAACUGGAUGAGCCUUGGGAAAAUAUCAUUGGAGGCAUAAGUUAGAUGAGACUCAUUUGUGAAAUGAACAAACUCAAUGUCAAUAUAAACAGUUUCAUCGAAGAAGUUGAACAAAUUUUUUUGAAUAGUCUGCUUGCACUCAUGUUGUAUCUCUGCUCAUACUUGUGCUCUUCAUGCUACUUUAUAAAUAGAAUUUUAGCCUUUCAAACUGUACAACAGAAAAUCACCUUAUUGAAGAGAGAGGCCCUCAAUGUUUCCAUUGAGGCAAUUGGAAGCUGCUCUGCAGCCCUCUUGCAGAAGCUCCAAGCUAUUGUAUUGGGCCUGGAAUAGGCCAUUCCUACUGUUAUUUUUCAAUUGCCAGUGGAGAGGAUUGGAUUAUGCAGCAUUUGCAUAUAAUACUGGAAUUUUAAUGCUAUAUGGCUGGAGUCACGAGCUCACACUUUGUUGAUGACUCAUACAAUAUAAACAAUCUUGACUGAUGGAACACUGAAACAAAUACUGAAGUCAGUUAUCAUGCACAAUAAGCAUUUGCUGUCUAUCGAGACCCCAUCAACUAGUCAAAUGUAACUUCUGAAGAAGCUUCUGCUUUCAUUCAUAAUAUUAGUCUGUUUUCUUCUUUGUAACGAUAAUGCUUCCACCUGAGAUGCCUAUUUAUGGUUGCUAACUUGUUUUUACAUAGAACAACCCUUUAUCUAUGGCUUUUUAUAUUCAAUGAUUAAAAAUAAAUCAGCACUCAAUAACAGUAUACAGAAGAACUUUAAUAUGAGAAACAUUUUCAAUCAUUCAAGUGACCACAUCUUCAGUUUGUACCAGAAAUAGACUAUAUUGUACAUUAGAACAUAACAUUCAUUUACAAUUUAAAAUCUGAUUUAAAAAAACAGGAAAGACCGUGUAUUAUAGCUAAAAAGUUCUCAAUAUUGUUUAAAUUUACUUACAGAAAACAUUGAGGC